GCCUGGGUGGCUCAGUCGGUUGAGCGUCUGGCUUCGGAUCAGGUCAUGAUCUCGUGGUCCGUGAGUUCGAGCCCCACAUCAGGCU
Molecule: transfer RNA, 85 nt
Filed under: Felis catus (domestic cat)
Lineage: Eukaryota; Metazoa; Chordata; Mammalia; Carnivora; Felidae
Rfam family: tRNA
About the family: Transfer RNA (tRNA) molecules are approximately 80 nucleotides in length. Their secondary structure includes four short double-helical elements and three loops (D, anti-codon, and T loops).
Source: Rfam by way of RNAcentral